UUGAGCUCGGAUCAGGUAGGGAUACCCGCUGAACUUAAACAUAUCA
RNAcentral lists this ribosomal RNA (46 nucleotides) under Paragyromitra infula. Its description in RNAcentral is "Gyromitra infula partial 28S ribosomal RNA". Lineage: Eukaryota; Fungi; Ascomycota; Pezizomycetes; Pezizales; Discinaceae. The record is from RNAcentral.